UGGGUAACCUGCCUCAAAGAGGGGAAUAGCCUCCCGAAAGGGAGAUUAAUACCGCAUAAUAUGUUUAGGUCGCAUGACUUUAACAUCAAAGGAUUUUCUUUUAGAAAUUCCACUUUGAGAUGGACCCGCGGCGCAUUAGCUAGUUGGUGAGGUAACGGCUCACCAAGGCAACGAUGCGUAGCCGACCUGAGGGGGUGAUCGGCCACAUUGGAGCUGAGACACGGUCCAGACUCCUAGGAGG
This 241-nucleotide ribosomal RNA is filed under the name uncultured bacterium. RNAcentral describes it as "partial 16S ribosomal RNA". It matches the Rfam family "Bacterial small subunit ribosomal RNA", at positions 118 to 348 of the family's 1533-position model. The record is from RNAcentral.